UUACACCCCACGUCCCUCCCCUUAAUUUCGCAAAAAAAAAAUUGCACCCCCUGUUAUAAACUCCCCACCAUCACCACCGCUCUCCCUAAUUCCCCGUCGUCAUCAUCAACGCCGAGUUCCCUUUGGUUCACCACAGGUUGACGGACGACAAACCUAUUUGUUUUAUCAUUUUCCUAAUGCAAUUGCUACUAUAAGAAGAUGAAAUCGAGAUGGAAGACAAACCUAAAGAGGAACAGGUAACCGAAAUGGAUUGAAAUCACCCGGGGACAACAGUGGGAAGAAAAUCGGGGGUUAGGUGAUUCAUGAAACAAAAAACGACCAUGAAGAACCAACAAGCUUCAAGAAACAUUAUAUCUAAAAGAUCCACACAUUUCUUGUGUAUCUGUAGUUUUGUGCUGGAUUACUCUUCACCAAAAGGGAAAUUGGAUUUGCUAGAGUUAAAAUUGUGAUUUAUGCUUAAUGGGCUUUCUUUAUACAACUCUUUUUUGAUGCAUUUCAGUCAAGAAUCCCAUUCCUUAUAACGAAUUUGCUGAUCAAAUUUAUGAUGUCUGGUACGGUAGUUUGUUGGUGAAGAUAUAUUUCCAUGAUUGGUUUCUAAAAUUUUAUCAUCAAUCCAUCAUAUCAUAUGUAAUUUGUUCCAAAACAAAAUGCAUAAUAAACCCCUUUUACCAAGAUUUAUAAAUAAAUGGGUUGCUUGGAUAUUGGUAUCCUCAAAGUCACUAAAUUGGAGUAGCUGUUGGCAGGGUAC
Helianthus annuus (common sunflower) is the source of this 748-nucleotide long non-coding RNA. RefSeq lists it as uncharacterized. The transcript is spliced from 3 exons. NCBI's taxonomy places the organism in Eukaryota, Viridiplantae, Streptophyta, Magnoliopsida, Asterales, Asteraceae. The record is from RefSeq and is a predicted model, not a curated record.